UAAAAAAAAUGCAAAUCAUUGCUUGAUUUUUUUUUAAAGAAGGUGGCAAGGUGCAUAUUGUUUACUCAAGCUUUAACAGACUGGAGGGUAGAACUGAAAGUGUUGUAGGGAAUGAGGCCAUGUCUGGCUAGAGAUCAGUCACCAGCAGUGCUCAUCAGGGCUUAAUCCUGGGGACAGUUCUGUUCAAUACAUUUAUCAACUAUUUGGGUGCAGGAGUUGAAUGCACCAUUAGCAAGUUUGCUAAUGAUACUGAACUGGGAGGUGUUGUUGACUGUUUUGAAGUGGCCUUGAAGAGAGAUAUGGAUAGACAGGAACAUUGAGUUAUGAUUAAUGGGAUGAAAUUUAGCCACCUGAAAUACCAGAUUCUGUACCUGGGAGAGAAUACUGCUGGGUAGAAGUAUAAGCUAGGAGAGGAGUGGCUGGAGAGCAGCCCCACAGAAAGGGGCCUGGGGUUGCCAAUUGACAGGAGGCUCAAGAGAAGCCAGCAGCGUGUGCCCUGGCAGCCAAGAGGGCAAACCUCAUCCUGGGAUGCAUCAAACACAACACAGCUGACCAGCCAAGAGGGGUAAUUAUCCCACUGUAUUGAGCUGGUGCAACCUAAUUUCGAAUAUAAUAAUGAGUGUAGUUCCAGGCCCCCAAAAUUAAAAAGGAUGUGAAGGUCCAUGGUUGCAUCCAGAGGAUACAAAAGAUGGUGCAAGGGCAGGAACUCCUUUGAAUUGCUAAUCUCUUCCCUUUGGCAUCCAGUGAUAGGACACAUGGGAAUCGUUCAAAGUUGCACCAGUGAAGGUUUAGUCUGGACAUUGGGAAGCAGUUCUCUACCAAGAAGGUGGUCAAACACUGGAAUAGGCUUUCUAGAGAGAUGGUAGAUGCAUCACAGUUUUCAGUGUUCAAGAGGCAUUUAUUUGGACAAAGCCCUUAAUACCAUGCUUUAGCUUGGUCAGCCCUAGAGUGGUCAGGCAGUUGUACAAGAUGAUCAUUUUAGGUCACAUCCAGCUGCAACCAUUCUAUUAUAUCUUCUAUAUAUUCUAUAUUCUAUAUCCAGUAUUCUAUAGUCUAUUCUAAACCUUCCUUCAACAGAAGGAGGGAUAUAUUUCCUGCUAAAUUAUCUCCCUUGUCUCUUCUUUUAGCUACCUUUUAUCUACUAUUUUCUCAAAAGACAAAAGCUAUUGGAGAGAUAUUCCAGCUGAGGAUGAACUGUCAUAAUUAUUGGAUGCAAGAGAAGCCAUGUUCCAAUAUCUUCCUCUUAAACAACAUGCAGAACCCUAAAAAAUGGCCCACUAGUUUUAGUAAAGCAGAAUAUUUUAUGUGGUGGCCAUGCAUAAUCAUGAAAAUUGUAAGGAAUUCAAACAACUUAAUGAGGAGCACUCUUACUUGAGAACUGAGACCCACUAAUGGAACAGGAUCUGCAGGUGUAUAGGAUGGAGUCACUCACCAUCUCAGAGAAGGAAAUUUGUAUUUAAUGAAGGGCCUUCAGGGAAAGGAAAAGAACCAGGCUUGUACAUUUUUGAAAUGAAAAGCACCAAAGAGAGCCCAAAGCACACCUUAUUCUUAGUGGAAAAAUCCCUUGGGCUGUAGCAUGGGUCAGGUUUGAGUGACUGGCAGCAAAAUGUGCUGCAAAUUAAGUGCACAUGGUGUUGAUAUCCCAAAUGGAAGGUAGAAAAAAAACAAGGGAUUGGUAAAGCUAGUAAGGGGACAGGGCCAGUGGUGGUAUCUGGGGAUAUUCAUAAAUGUUAUGGCUGGAAAGGAAGAUGAUGUGAGGUAAAGGCUGUAAAAGUGACUAGUAUGAUUUAAGACCAGUAGGAGAGGGACAAAACAGUCACUGGAAGCAAGUUUUUUUCGGUCAGAGCAAAGCAGUGGGGGUGAGGAUAGACAAAUAUCAUUCAGGCUUGUUUCCCAGACCUUCCUCAGGUACAUCUCUUAUUCCACAUAACAAAGAGUUAAGAACCUCCUCAAGACUCCUCUUUUUUGGGUUGACUUUGACUUUAAUGAACUAGCUUCCAUGCUAGUGCUGUUCAGUGCUGUUCUUUCCCUUGUUUUUUGCUGUGUGGUCUGUAACUCUCAGUCAGACUGCAGGCUCCAUAACAAAUUAUUAUAGUGAUAAAGUAUAAAUCACAGAUAAAUACAGCACCUAUACAGUACCUAAAUUACAACUAUGGUGUUCCAUAAAUAAUAAACUACCCAGGAGUGAAAAUUACAAAAGGGUAAGGUGCAGAACUUGAACCAGUUGUGCUGUAACUCAGGUCAAAUUAAAAUGCGGUCAAGAAUUUUAAAAAACAUUACACUACACACUUUAUCUAAAGCAUUAAGCAGCACACAGAAAACCUCUUCACUUGGAUAAAAGCAAUGAUGUAUUUCUAACCCGAGAAAUAUCACAGACACAGUUGUCAUCAGUGAAAAUCAAUGUGGACUCAAGUGAAAGAAAGGAUAAAAAAAUGACAAUAGGAAGCCAUUAUAGGACACUGGGGGAGGAUGGAAAAGCAGAACAGGAAAUGUUUGUGUAGAUAAAAGAAUCCUGCAAAACAGCUACAACAAGAAUCAUAGGAAUUUCAAUCGUCCUGUCACUGAGGGGAAUUGCAAUUAGGAAAUAUCAAAUAAGUGUGAAAAGCUGAAUACUAACAUAGCUCUGAAUUGUCUUUAGAAAGCUUGUGAAAACACUCUACAUAUAGAAACAACAGCCUCAGAAAGCUCACAUCCUGGCUUUUAUCUCCAAAUCCAAAAUAGUACAGAUCUGAAAGAAUCAGUUUAUUGACCUUCUGGGUUAUACUACUAGCUCUAUUUUCUCAGGCCUUCUGCAGAUGGUUGGGGGCUGGUAUAUCCACAGAGGAUGUGGUUCAUUUAACUUCUGGUGAUUGACUCUUGUCAUGUUUGUGAAGGGCAUGAACUAGAAAUUGUUGGGAAGACAACUUUGCAAGCUAUGAGAUGGUUUAGUGGUUAUACAUUUUUCCUACCUGAGUUAUCCAUAAUUAAAGUUGGCAUAAAAGGCAAUUUCUGGAAACCUAGUAAUUUCUGGAAGUCACAGUAUAACAAUAAAAAAAGCUUAGUUUAAUCUGCAUUAAAAAAAAAAAAAUCGUGCAAAAUCCAUUCUUCUGCCAGCAGUACCAUAUUGGCUUCUGUGAGGUUUAAAUUCUCUGCUGCAAAAUGCAGUUAAGAAUGGGAGGCAUUGGCAAAGCUUCUUUGUGUUGCAGUUGUAAGAAAGACCAGUUAAGUGAAAAUUACUUGAUAUUACUCUGGCGAUGUUAAAGCAUCUGGUAGCAUUUGUUUUCUGUCCAUCCCAAGAUUUUUUGCUUGCCUUCUACUCAGGUGUUUGUUUCUGCUGCACCACUGCAAGCUUUCCUUUGCCCAGGGUUUCCACCUGGUACUUCCAGUUGACAUUUGAAUACCCUUGAUGCUUCCCUCGUCCAAAACCAGUUUGUUCUGACCAGGGACCAGGUGGCAGUCCCCUCUGACACUGGACUUCAAGAGACUGGAGGAACAUCGUUUCAUACUAACAGGACUGGAGUCAGGAAAUAAGAAGAGAUGCCAGAAUAUCCACUAAACAUUUAUGAGAGGAAGACCAUCACUUGCACAAUUGCACAAGGUGAGAAUGAGAAGGAACCAGGACAGUGACUAUGAAUUCACAACUGAAGAAACUCUCAGUCCACUUCUAAGCCGUUGAAAUAACCAGUUCCUUCACACUGGAACAUCAGUAACCUGUUGCUGUGAAAUUAUGGUGAUGUCAAGAGCAGGUGCCACAGAAAGAAGAUGCUGGGCCAUGCCAUGCACGGAGCAUGGUGAAGAAGGCUUGGAACUGGAAGUGCUGCACUGCUCUGUCCUUGUAAUUCCUUUGUGCCAUGUUCUGGGAGCUGGGGAAAUGCUCAGCAACAAAUGGCCCCAUAGUGGUUAGUGGAGGAGCAAUCCCUUCUUUCAUGAAAAGCUGGGUAUUCACCUACAUAUCUUAAUUCUUUCCAUGCAUGUUCUUUCUUGCCCUCACCCUGUAAAUUUUGUUGACACAGAAAAGCAGGAAUUUGGUCUUAUGUCUGGGAUUUCUGGAUAACUAGCAACCUGAGUGCAUGUGCAGUAGUGCAGAUCAAGUGAUGCCUUGAUGUCCUGAUAACUGGCCAGCAUACAUACAAAAAUCAACUGUACUUGAAGUGAAUAAAAAUCCAAGGUAUCUGGAGCAUGUCACACUUACUGUGCAGGUGCCAGUUGUCUGAC
Parus major (Great Tit) is the source of this 4194-nucleotide long non-coding RNA. RefSeq lists it as uncharacterized. The transcript is spliced from 3 exons. The record is from RefSeq and is a predicted model, not a curated record. NCBI's taxonomy places the organism in Eukaryota, Metazoa, Chordata, Aves, Passeriformes, Paridae.